UAAAAUGUAUUUUAACCCUUACCCCAACCUGAAUUUAAUGUGAAUAUAUAUUUUUUACGCCUUGUGUGCUCCAACAUACAAUGCUGGAACUGAGACAUCAUCAAAAGACUGUGAGCGCCUGUUGUUCUCCAGAAUACAAUUCUGGCACUGCGACAACAUCGAAAGACCUCCAACCAUAAGUCCCGAUUUUCCACCGCCAUCGCAUUGUACUGUGAUGAAUAUAAAGCUGUGUUCCAUUGUUCAACUUAAG
Molecule: long non-coding RNA, 250 nt
Organism: Aethina tumida (small hive beetle)
Lineage: Eukaryota; Metazoa; Arthropoda; Insecta; Coleoptera; Nitidulidae
Exons: 3
Source: RefSeq, a predicted model, not a curated record